GAUGAACGCCGGCGGUGUGCCUAAUACAUGCAAGUCGUACGCACUGGCCCAACUGAUUGAUGGUGCUUGCACCUGAUUGACGAUGGAUCACCAGUGAGUGGCGGACGGGUGAGUAACACGUAGGUAACCUGCCCCGGAGCGGGGGAUAACAUUUGGAAACAGAUGCUAAUACCGCAUAACAACAAAAGCCACAUGGCUUUUCUUUGAAAGAUGGCUUUGGCUAUCACUCUGGGAUGGACCUGCGGUGCAUUAGCUAGUUGGUAAGGUAACGGCUUACCAAGGCGAUGAUGCAUAGCCGAGUUGAGAGACUGAUCGGCCACAAUGGAACUGAGACACGGUCCAUACUCCUACGGGAGGCAGCAGUAGGGAAUCUUCCACAAUGGGCGCAAGCCUGAUGGAGCAACACCGCGUGAGUGAAGAAGGGUUUCGGCUCGUAAAGCUCUGUUGUUGGAGAAGAACGUGCGUGAGAGUAACUGUUCACGCAGUGACGGUAUCCAACCAGAAAGUCACGGCUAACUACGUGCCAGCAGCCGCGGUAAUACGUAGGUGGCAAGCGUUAUCCGGAUUUAUUGGGCGUAAAGCGAGCGCAGGCGGUUGCUUAGGUCUGAUGUGAAAGCCUUCGGCU
Molecule: ribosomal RNA, 625 nt
Filed under: uncultured Lactobacillus sp.
Lineage: Bacteria; Bacillati; Bacillota; Bacilli; Lactobacillales; Lactobacillaceae
Description: bacterial SSU rRNA
Rfam family: Bacterial small subunit ribosomal RNA
Source: RNAcentral